This is a non-coding RNA of Pimephales promelas (fathead minnow), 1656 nucleotides long. Lineage: Eukaryota; Metazoa; Chordata; Actinopteri; Cypriniformes; Leuciscidae. The record is from RefSeq and is a predicted model, not a curated record.
AAGAUUAGCAGUCUUUUAAAUAAUACAUGAAAAGGGGAUUUUCAUGAAAUGACUACAUUUUUAAAGUUCAAAGUUGUAAUUUUGGUCUGUUUUCAGAUUUUGGGAGAGAAUGUUGCCAGCAAAGACAGGGCGGGUGCAACUGCCACUUCAGAUCCUGAAGAUGAUGGAGAUGGAGACAUUUCUACAAUGGACCCUGAGCCAGUAGUGGUCCUUCGUGGAUCACAUAAGAUGUUUACAUCGUUCAUUAGCUUUUCUGGUAAAGCCUCAGAUGGUAGAUAUGGGGACUCAAACCGAAAGGUUUGAGCAUUGCAGAUCAACUCCUCUGGCCAGUCCUGAACAAAGUAAUGAUGAAUGGUCAUUUUCUGAUAUAUCAUCAACCAUUCUGGGGAUAUGUCAUGGAGUCCAGGGGAGGAGAUGUUGAGUGAGUCGUCUGAGGAUGAACCAGAAGAGCUGGAAUCUCUCAGUGACCCGAAUGCUGUUGACAAGUUCAUUGUUUGCCAGAGGCAGUUGCUGUCCUUGUUCACGGUUUGCCCUGCAUGCUGUGGGGAAACCCAUGGACACAUAAUGCACCCGGAAGGAACCUUCAUAAAAGUUAAGCAGGCCUGCGGAACUUGUGGUUAUGAGCGUUACUGGCAAAACCAAGAAAAGGUGCAUCGAAACAUGCCUGCCUGCAACCUUUUACUCAGCGGUGCCAUCCACUUCUCAGGUUGCAUGGCUACUCAGACCAUCAGGAUGCUAAAGCUGUUUGGACUGCAGUGCAUAAGUCCCGGCACUUUUUUCCGCCAUCAGCGCUAUUACACUAUCCCUACUAUCGUGCAGGCCUGGAGGAAUGAGCAGAGGGGGAUCAUCAGGAAGUUGAAGGAGACUGGAGAUCAGAUUCUCCUGGACACUGUGCCAAAUAUGGUAGCUACUCCUUGAUUGAGGAUCGAAUUAACAAAGUUUUGGAUGUUCAACUUGUCCAAAGCUCAGAAGUCCCAAGCAGCUCUUGGUGUGAGCUAGAGGGUCUAAAGCGGAGUAUGCAGUUCCUGAUGGACCAAGACAUGCAAGUGUCUGCUCUGAUAACAGACAGAAAUCGGCAGGUGGCCAAGUGGGUACGUGAGAAAAUGUGUUCAGAAGGAACAACGCAUUUCUUUGACGUCUGGCAUAUUGGGAAAAGUGUACAGAAAGCACUGGAUGCUGCUGCAAAAGAGAGGGACUGUGAGGAUCUGAAGCUGUGGAGGCCAGCCAUUAUCAACCAUCUCUACUGGACCGCUGCUUCCACCCCUACAGGAGAUCCAGAUGAGAUGCAGGCAAAAUGGCAGAGUAUGAUAAAUCAUGUACAGGACAUACAUGAACACAGCACUCCUGCAUUUACCAGCUGCGCACAUCCACCGUUGGAAGGAGAGGCAAGAAACAAGGAGUGGCUUGAACCAGACUUCUCUUGGCAGCCCUACAUUACAAUCGUAAUGGCAACAGAGAUGUAGCUUAAACCAGUGAGGGUGAGGCACACUAUGCCGUUCGCUACCCGCGGUUUCGGAAAGGUGGCUGGGUAGUCCACCCCAUCAAGGAGAAACCAUCUUACAGAUACGCAACAAAACUUAUGGUCUCUCUGGUAGAGGAAUACUCCAAGUCACCACAGGCCCUACAAGAAAGCAGUGCUGUCUUGUCCUCUGCUGC